Oncorhynchus keta (chum salmon) is the source of this 256-nucleotide long non-coding RNA. RefSeq lists it as uncharacterized. The record is from RefSeq and is a predicted model, not a curated record. Lineage: Eukaryota; Metazoa; Chordata; Actinopteri; Salmoniformes; Salmonidae. The transcript has 3 exons.
UACAGUAACAUUCUAUAUACUGGUGAUCCUGGAGUCACUCUGUUACAGGUACAGUAACAUUCUAUAUACUGGUGAUCCUGGAGUCACUCUGUCUGUUACAGGUACAGUAACAUUCUAUAUACUGGUGAUCCUGGAGUCACUCUGUCUGUUACAGGUACAGUAACAUUCUAUAUACUGGUGAUCCUGGAGUCACUCUGUCUGUAACAGGUACAGUUACAUUCUAUAUACUGGUGAUCCUGGAGUCACUCUGUCUGUA